Molecule: long non-coding RNA, 858 nt
Filed under: Zea mays
Lineage: Eukaryota; Viridiplantae; Streptophyta; Magnoliopsida; Poales; Poaceae
Description: long non-coding RNA (ZMAY_LNC003424)
Source: RNAcentral
GGCGCAAAAGCAAAUUCCCAGUUAGCGUAGUACUGUUCAUCUAUUUAUAGGCACGGGUCGUAGCCCAUGUAAAAUUACAUCCAGGCCCCUUGCAUUUGAUAAUAACUCUAUAGUAAUUAAUCGGGGUCUAGAUAGCCUUUUCCUCUUUAAGUCGGUUUCCUUUUCCUGUCAUCAUGCCGAAGCUCCCUUGCGCACAGCUUCGGCUCUGUUCCAUCCUUCGUUCCCCUUGUGUUUCUUCAUACAGUGAUUUUGACUCAAGUUCGAAAGGUCCAUGUCCGAAGGUACCUGCUGAUGUAUUAUACUCCAGAAACAUUGUUAAAUCACGUUUUUGAGGACCUUCGUAAGCCGAAGGCCCCCAACAGCCAACAGGGAUCUUCUCCCCAAGUUAUCCUAACCUCCCUAGACUACAUAAUUCUUAUUCUAUUGUUGUUCUAGCAGACUUAAGUUUGGAGAAUCGAUAGACCGACUCUGAUAACAACAAUAUGAUCUUUUUGACCUUUGGAACUAAUCGAUUCCCUCCCUUAACCUAGCUAGGUCCUUUCUGUAGCUCAAUAGACUGAAGACUUGUGCACUAGUGAGCUAGAGGAAGAGAAACAAAGUAUGGGAUCAUACCUUCAGGAUUUAGGUGGAUGGUAGUCGUAUUGGCAGAAGAGAUAGGGGAUGGGCCUAGGAGUUGAGCCCCUCCAUCUUGAUCUUGCCCCUCCUCCUUGUAUGUUUGUUGGAUCAUGGGGUGGAGCCUCAUUGGUCAGCGAUGUCCGUUAAGAUCUAUCGGUGUUAUGGGUUUGAUUGGGAGAUUUCUAUUUACUAAGGCGCUAAAUAGGAGUUUGAGUCCUUUGUAUUUUGUGGUUGCUAGGGUUU